Molecule: transfer RNA, 73 nt
Filed under: Camelus bactrianus (Bactrian camel)
Lineage: Eukaryota; Metazoa; Chordata; Mammalia; Artiodactyla; Camelidae
Also listed under: 2 other names
Rfam family: tRNA
About the family: Transfer RNA (tRNA) molecules are approximately 80 nucleotides in length. Their secondary structure includes four short double-helical elements and three loops (D, anti-codon, and T loops). Further hydrogen bonds mediate the characteristic L-shaped molecular structure. tRNAs have two regions of fundamental functional importance: the anti-codon, which is responsible for specific mRNA codon recognition, and the 3' end, to which the tRNAs corresponding amino acid is attached (by aminoacyl-tRNA synthetases). tRNAs cope with the degeneracy of the genetic code in two manners: having more than one tRNA (with a specific anti-codon) for a particular amino acid; and 'wobble' base-pairing, i.e. permitting non-standard base-pairing at the 3rd anti-codon position.
Source: Rfam by way of RNAcentral
GAGGGUAUAGCUCAAGUGGUAGAGCACAUGCUUAACACACUUGCGGUCCUGGGUUCAAUCCCCAAUACCUCCA